This is a long non-coding RNA of Mytilus californianus (California mussel), 3098 nucleotides long. RefSeq lists it as uncharacterized. NCBI's taxonomy places the organism in Eukaryota, Metazoa, Mollusca, Bivalvia, Mytilida, Mytilidae. The record is from RefSeq and is a predicted model, not a curated record. The transcript is spliced from 2 exons.
GUACAGACGGACAAGGGUAAAAACUUAAUGCCCCCCUCCGCUACGGCAUGGGCAUAAAAAUUGCAUGAAAUUUAAUAAACUGCUUCGCUGAGCGCAGCUAGAUACGCCCGCAGAGGUCCAACCCUGAACAGUUGGGGCAAAAAUGGACACAAUAUUCAAGCUUGAUUCAGGUCUGAAUUUGGAUUGUAAUUAAAUAUUUGACAUAUUAUAGGUUUCUCAAUAAAUGUAGUCAAAGAACUUGAAAUUGGUUAUAUGAAUUGAAUUUAUAUUCAAUUAAAGAUUUCUUGCUGUUGUGCAAUACCUAGUAAAUCUGUUGUCAGACUAUAAGCAAAUAAAGUUCAAUUAAUUCUCAAUGUCAUACUAGAAAUUUAUGAAAAUAAAAAGGGAGCUUACAUCAAUAGAUAUAAACAAUUCACCAAAGUUUCAUGAGAAUUGGUGACAGCAUGUUUACGUUAUUGUCUGAAAACUGGAAAAUCACCCCUUUUUUUAAUGAAUAAAACCCCAUAACUCAGAAAUGUAAAAUUUAAAAUUUAUAAAAUUCUAAGGGGGGCUUACAUCAAUACAUACAAACAAUUCACCAAAGUUUCAUAAGAAUUGCUGAAAGCAUUUUUGAGUUUUUGUCCGAAAACUGGAAAAUCCCCCCUUUUUUUAUGAAUAAAACCCUGUAACUCGGAAACGUAAAAUCUAAAAUUUAUAAAAAUCAAAAGGGAGCUCAUGUCAAUAGAUAUAAACAAUUCACCGCAAUUUCUUGCAAGUUGGUGAAGGCAUUCUUGACUUAUUGUCCCAAAACUGGAAAAUCCCCCUUUUUUUAAUAAAUAAAACCCCAUAACUCGGAAAUGUAAAAUCUAAAUUUUAUAAAAAACGAACGGGAGCUCACGUCAAUAGAUAUAAACAAUUCACCAAAGUUUUAUGCAAAUUGGUUAAAGCAUUUUUGAGUUAAUGUCCGACAUGUUGACGACGGACAGACGGACGGACGGACAGAGGUAUACCAUAAUACGUCCCGUAAACGGGCAUAUAAAAAAUCACAACCAGAAAUGUAUUAUGGAUGAGGGUAUUACCAACGAAUUCUGGUCUAUACAGCCUGAGAAAACUUCACUGUCCUGAACAAACUAGUUUUUCUAAAAUUUUCACAGUCCAAAUGUUAUAGCAGAUGACAAAAUUAACCAUAUUUCUAUCAUGUUAUUUACUAUUUAGUUUCAAAUUAAUGAGUACAAGCUGUUUUUAAUAUGUUUAAGACAAUAAAUCAAUUAAUUUGUAAUAUUUUUGACGUAAAAAAAAAUGUAUAAAAACAAAUCAAAUAUAUUAGGUCUAUUUUUAGCAUAACCCUAUGAACCAUGUGUUUAUGAUCCUAAAAAUUAAGUUUUUACACACGGUUGUACUAUAAAUAGAAAGUAUACUAUUAAAUUUUCUUAGAAAUGAUUGUAAAUUAACCUUUCUACUAUAUUCAACAUAUAUAUAGAACUUUGAAAGCAGGAAUAUUAUAUAAACAGCAAACAACAUUUAUAUGCUACUAUGAUAUAUUUGUCAUCUUCUAUUAUAGUAAUAGUAUUACGUAAUAGACACUGGGUCUUCUGGAAUCUAAGCUAACUCUUCAAAACUUACUUAUUCAUAUGAUCCCCAAGGCUUAAAAAACUGAGAAACAAAUGUUUUUUUGCCACUCUUUACUGCAAAAGCCUUUUUUUUGCAUUAUUUUUGAAAUCUUCAAAAAAUAUAACAUUGCAACAAAAUCAAUUAAAUCUCGGAAAAUUAUGGAUAUCACAUUGCUAUUUUUUACACAUAGUUAUUUUCUUUUUUUUCAGAUGAAUACUCCAAUCAAAUAACCUGUUAUUCACUGAUAUCUAUUCACAAUGAACAGCAAAUUAACAAAUUAAAUCAACACAGAAUGAAUACUAACCAACAAAAAAAUUGCACACUUAUGCUAAAACACACUUCAGAAUGUCACUCUCAUGGUUUUAUUUACAUUUUGAACGAAAAAAAAGAUAUCAAAAUGUAAUGAAUAUAAAAAUGCUGGUUAUUUCUUAAAAGUGUGCUUUUUCAAUGAACAAUUUGACAUGAGGUAAGUUAGUCUGACACAAUCAAUCUGUCUUAUUUUAAUGCAUUUUAUUUUGGUUUAAAGCCAUCAUUUUCACCAGCAUUCAAUAUGAACUGUUAUUUUUCUGUAAAUCAUUUAACUAGUUAUAUUCUAUUAUUUCUAAUUUCAAAAAAAUUCACAAAUUAAAUAUUUAUCCCUUUUAACCAUACAUCUUACUAAUAAAUCAACUAAAGUAUUGGUUUUUUUUUAAAUAAAAAUAAGCAAAGACAAAACAACUGCCCUAUUUCAUCAAAUAAUUGAUGAAGUUUCAUUUAUGGCUGACUAAUUAAUAAUCAAUUAAGCUGUGACAGGCAAGAAUUUUUUGGUGCAAUUUUUAAAUUAUUCAACUGUGCUUUCAAAUAUCUAAAAAUAAACAUACUAGUGAAUAAAGGAUUGUCUGUGGAAUAACUGCAUUAUACUUGCAAUACAAUCACAUCAAAACAUUCAUUGGUUAAACAUUCAAACUGGUAUCAAAUUUUUCUAUAUUUUUUUUCCUUUUAAACAAUCAAAUUAGAUUAAAUCUACAACAUUAUAAUAAAAUACUAUUUUUUUCAUUUUCAAUUGAGCUAUAAAACAGUAUACUAGAUAUUAAAUUAUUUCAUGUCUGCAAAUGAUGUCAAAUAUUUGCUGACCACUGACAAUACCAGUGUACAUGAAAGUUGUGCCAAAGGUACAAAUCUGCAUUGGCAAUAUAAUAUGUUGCUUUAAAAUUUCAAAAAAAUAAAACAGUUUUGAAUGUUUUGCCUUUUCUGGAAACAGCUCCUUUCAAGUCUCAUUCACACUCAUCAAUCACAACUGAUUUUGAUCUUUACUUCCUCAUAAUUGCAUCAUCCCAUACAAAAUAAAUAAAGCAAUUUUACAACAUGGUCCAAAUUCAUUUGAAACAGAUAAUUAUUUUUUUUAGCAUACAAAAAGAUUUCAAAUCAGUCUGAACUAUUUAAACAACAAAAAUCUUAAACUGUGGCAGCUAUGUGGAAUUACACUUUUUAAAUAUAUUUUUAUUAAAACAAAAAAAUAAACAAGAAAA